Molecule: long non-coding RNA, 2151 nt
Organism: Gasterosteus aculeatus (three-spined stickleback)
Lineage: Eukaryota; Metazoa; Chordata; Actinopteri; Perciformes; Gasterosteidae
Source: Ensembl
AUGGGACCCUUUGCUCAGAAAGUCCCACCGAACUGGGCUUCAACAGCUGGAGGGGGUGGGGGACUUGAAGGCUAUAAAAGAUACUAUGGUCCCAUUGACCCUGAGGGACUGGGGCCCUGCAUGGAGCAGCAGGCAGGGUCCCAGACCCCCAAGACUAUGCCAAGGGGCCACCCCCAACCCCCUCCAGCCAGUGUGGCCUUCUAUUCAGAGAAGGGCAUGGACCACGGGGUGGGGAAGAGGGUGGUGGGAGGUGGCAGUGGAGGUCAGGGGAAAGGGGCCGGUAAACCUCUGGGCACUCCCAGAUUGCCGCCUAAGAGUCAGGCCCCUCUGCCUCCUACACCCCCGCUGCCACACCCCUCUCCCCCUCUCCCCUCAUCCUUCUGGAGGAAGCGUAGGCCCAAGAAGCCCAAAGAGCCUGGAGGGCCUCUGUAUGAGAACAUUCUGCCCCUGGGGCAGAGGGGAGGAGCACGAGAUGGAGUGAGGGAGGGAGGAGGGAGGAGGGCACGCCCCCUCUCUCCCCCGCUCUCACUUCCUGUGCCAGUACCCCUCAGCCCCUCUUACACCCCUCCUUCGCCCUCUGCAUCUUUGCACUAUACGUCCUCCACUUCUUCGUCAACCACCUCGUCCACAUCCACGUCCUCGUCUGCUUCAUCCUCGCGCUCCACCUCUCCCACCUACUCUUACAGCUCCUCUAGGAGCACACGGGACAGGACUGGAGGAAUAGAUGGAGAGGACGAUGAUGACGACGAGGAGCUGACGGAAGAGUCCAGCCUCCUCAUUGGUAGGGGGAGGGAGAGGGAACGCUCAAUUCUUCAGCCUCGUUCCCUCAGCCAUGGGCGCCUGCCGCCACCCAUACCCCCCAGGAAACCACGCUCAUCCUGGGGUGACAGAGAAAGGGAACGAGAGAGGGAGAGGGGGGGAAGCCAACUGUCUCAGCUCCAAGAAUGGUGGGCCAGCUGGAGUGAGCGAGAGAGGAGUGGAGUGGGUGGAGAUGCUGAGAGGCAAAAAAGGGAAAAGAAGAGGAGGAAAGAGAAGGAGAAAGAGAAGAAGAAGAAGAAAAAGAACAAAAAGAAGAAAAAGAGGGAGGAAAGGGAGAGAGAGCGAGAGAGGGAAAGAAAGCGGCGAAAGGUGAAAAAGAAAAAGAAAAAGGAGCUUAAGACAAAGAAAAGGAAGAAAUCUAUUGGGGGAAGACGCUCAGAGCCAGAAGAGGGAGAUGUAGAGCCAGAGAGGGAAGGGGAGGUAGAAGGAGACAGAGAAGGAGGAAUACAAGACUACUCGUUCUCUACGCAGUAUCGUAACACAUUUGGGGAGAAAGGACGGGAUUCAUGGGAAGGAGACAGGGAGAGAGGAAGGAGAGAAGGAGAUGAUGGCAAUGACAGGGAACAGGAGGACAGCAGCAGAAGCAGGGAGAGGCGUCCCAAAUCCUCCCGUUCCCAUUCUAGGCAUCUUAUCCCCAAUAAACGUUACCCUAACCUCAACAAACUCCCUGCAUCUGUGAAGUUUUGGGUGAAUGGAAGAGGUGAUGAUUCUAAUACUCCUCCAGCUUCCCUCCACCCACUCCUUCCGUCCUCCAAGCGGAGAAGAAGCAGCGGGAUGGACAGAGACGACAGUGGGAGAGUUGGCGAGCGGCGUCCUUUGUUAAUGCAUUAUGAAAAAGAUAAAGCACGGACAAGAGAAGGGCUUUCCUUCCCUGAGUGGGAAUCGGAGGAUGGCGACGAAGAUGAGGAUGAGCAACAGGAGGAAAGGCAGAGGGUGAGGGAGAGGGUGGGGGAGAGGGGUAAGAGAGCAGGUAGGGGGGCAGUGUCUGAGUCAGAGAGAGACAGGGCCAGGGCAGAGGACAGUUAUUCAGACGAUGGCUCGUCAGGGGAGUUUGGUCGUUUUGAAAGAUACUGGGAGGGAGGUGCGAGGGGAAGCAGCGCGGGGAUCGGGGGCAUAGGGGGAGGAGGCUGGUUCUUUGGCACCUACCCCUCCCGAGAAAAAGGGGGCAGUAUCAACAGUCGGGAUGAUUCCUUACUGGGAACGCGGGCGGAGGGAUGGAUUGGUGCUGAUUUUUGGGGGCCAGGGACAGGAGUAGGUUGGGGCUCAGGGGGAGGGAGUGGAGGGCUCGGCUCACAGUGGCCGCCACCCCCCCCCGGCCUUCCCUCCUCCUAG